GGGAAUGGCGGGAGGAUGGAGGGAUCAAAAGUGGCCUUGUGCGUUAAUUAGAACAACCCUGGAGCCGUGGGUACGUUCUCCUUAGACUCGUUCUGGCUGUAGCCUGAGCGCUGCGGGGCCAUCAAAUCCAGACUGGAUCUGUUCAAAUCCAAGGCGGUUGUUUUACCACAACCAUCCCUCCCCCUGCCCGUUUUUUCCUUUCUGCGGAUGCAAAAACCCACUCUGUCCAGGGAGGCAUUUGGGAUGAGCCCCUGAUUUACUCGGUGAUGGCAGGUUGCAGAUAAUGUGGCAGCUGCAGAUUUACGGCCGCAAUGAUUUUGUGACUCAAAGGAUGGCGCUUGUUGGGCAAUAGGGGUGAACUGGCUAGAAACACAUUCUGACAAGAGACCUAUUGUUCAGUACACACACACACACACACACACACACACACACACACACACACACUUCUCAUCACAGGGAAGUGAGACAGUUCAGCUCUGUUUAGCAUUAUCUCCCAUGAAACGAACGAAAGAGUCAGAAUUUUAAGAAGCUGAAGGAGAAAAGAAGGGGGGGGGGGGAGAGAGAGAGAGAGAGGUGGAACAAAAAGGGAAUACGAUUAGAAGAGAAUAUAGUAGAUGUGUUCAAGUAUCCAAGCGAGUUGUACAGGCCAGUAUUGAGAGCAAGAUGAACAGCCCCAUAAAAUUCAAAGACACACACACACACACACACACAGAGAGAGAGAGAGAGAGAGAGAGAGAGAGAGAGUCCUUAGCAUAUAAUCACGGGAAUGGGUCUAAAAAUCAUAAUGUGGUGAGAUAGACUUUUAAUCUUCUGACUGAUUCACUCUAUUUUCUGCUUUUUGGAAGAGAAAGGAAGCAGGUCUAUAGUUUUGUUCCUUUAACAAAAUGGCUGCCAUUGAAAAACAACAUUUGUCUGAUAAAAAUAGGAGUGAUAACUCUCAGACCAAGUCCUUUGGGGAUGUAGACGCAGUGAAAAAUCAGCUCCACCAGGCAGAGUUCUAGCUAAUGGAAACCUUUUCUUGUAAAUGACAGCACCAUCAC
Molecule: non-coding RNA, 1040 nt
Organism: Podarcis lilfordi (Lilford's wall lizard)
Lineage: Eukaryota; Metazoa; Chordata; Lepidosauria; Squamata; Lacertidae
Source: the annotation of a GenBank genome assembly